CUUGACAAACACAAGACCAUUAAAAAGUUUGUAGAGAAGAACAAGGAUCUGGAGGAAUUUGUUGAUAAGUGUGGAAAUCAAGUACAUGUAAUUGACUCCAACUACUGGAAGAUAAAAGAUGGUAAACUGGGCCAAGGGUCAGGAAGACUUUCCAGUACUGGUAGAUACUCAUAUGAAUCAGAAUACAGGAGCAACAGCUUUCAGAUUAAACAGCUGCUGACAACUAUAGAUAACAUGGUGACAAAGAAUGGAGGCUGUUAUUUCACAAAUGAAGGUAGCUUUUGUACUGUCUGAGAUGUUCUCUGAUGAUCUGUUCAGUGCUCCUCAGAUAAACGCCUAAAUACUCAUGCAUGGACUGACAGCAAAUGAGCAGCUGUGUCCGGCAGAUCCUCUGUUUAAGAGGCAAAUGUGUCUCCUUGCAAUAACAUCUCCUUAACUCUGAUGUCAAAAACAGGAUAAAUGGUUUAAUUCUUAACUAUAAGAAUCUUCGAUAUUGAUAAAAAAAAAACACAAUAA
Brienomyrus brachyistius is the source of this 516-nucleotide long non-coding RNA. RefSeq lists it as uncharacterized. Lineage: Eukaryota; Metazoa; Chordata; Actinopteri; Osteoglossiformes; Mormyridae. The record is from RefSeq and is a predicted model, not a curated record. The transcript has 2 exons.